GGGCCUAUAGUAAAGUGGUAUUACGCGGCAUUCGCAUUGCCGAAUCCGGGGUUCGACUCCCCGUAGGUCCA
This 71-nucleotide transfer RNA is filed under the name Candidatus Yonathbacteria bacterium RIFOXYC1_FULL_52_10. RNAcentral's name for it is "tRNA-Ala". It matches the Rfam family "tRNA". From Rfam's summary of the family: Transfer RNA (tRNA) molecules are approximately 80 nucleotides in length. Their secondary structure includes four short double-helical elements and three loops (D, anti-codon, and T loops). Lineage: Bacteria; Candidatus Yonathiibacteriota. RNAcentral also lists the same sequence under 1 other name. The record is from RNAcentral.